UCAGGACCCGGUGAAAAUCCGGGUGGCUCUUCCGGCCGCCGAUCCGCCGGACAACG
Molecule: non-coding RNA, 56 nt
Filed under: Acidocella sp. MX-AZ02
Lineage: Bacteria; Pseudomonadati; Pseudomonadota; Alphaproteobacteria; Acetobacterales; Acidocellaceae
Description: sul1 RNA
Rfam family: sul1 RNA
Source: Rfam by way of RNAcentral